This 70-nucleotide transfer RNA is filed under the name Podarcis lilfordi (Lilford's wall lizard). RNAcentral describes it as "tRNA.Ile". The stretch from base 4 to 62 matches the Rfam family "tRNA", at positions 8 to 63 of the family's 71-position model. From Rfam's summary of the family: Transfer RNA (tRNA) molecules are approximately 80 nucleotides in length. The record is from RNAcentral. Lineage: Eukaryota; Metazoa; Chordata; Lepidosauria; Squamata; Lacertidae.
GGAUAGCUCAGUUGGCUUGAGCAUGGUGCUGAUAACACCAAGGUUGCAGGUUCAAUCCCCGUAUGGGACA